AACGAACGCUGGCGGCAUGCCUAACACAUGCAAGUCGAACGAGACCUUCGGGUCUAGUGGCGCACGGGUGCGUAACGCGUGGGAAUCUGCCCUUGGGUUCGGAAUAACUCAGAGAAAUUUGAGCUAAUACCGGAUGAUGACGUAAGUCCAAAGAUUUAUCGCCCAAGGAUGAGCCCGCGUAGGAUUAGCUAGUUGGUGAGGUAAAGGCUCACCAAGGCGACGAUCCUUAGCUGGUCUGCGAGGGUGAUCAGCCACACUGGGACUGAGACACGGCCCAGACUCCUACGGGGGGCAGCAGUGGGGAAUAUUGGACAAUGGGCGAAAGCCUGAUCCAGCAAUGCCGCGUGAGUGAUGAAGGCCUUAGGGUUGUAAAGCUCUUUUACCCGGGAUGAUAAUGACAGUACCGGGAGAAUAAGCUCCGGCUAACUCCGUGCCAGCCGCCGCAGUAA
Molecule: ribosomal RNA, 449 nt
Filed under: uncultured bacterium
Lineage: Bacteria
Description: partial 16S ribosomal RNA
Rfam family: Bacterial small subunit ribosomal RNA
Source: RNAcentral